GACGAACGCUGGCGGCGUGCUUAACACAUGCAAGUCGAACGGAAAGGCCCUGCUUUUGUGGGGUGCUCGAGUGGCGAACGGGUGAGUAACACGUGAGUAACCUGCCCUUGACUUUGGGAUAACUUCAGGAAACUGGGGCUAAUACCGGAUAGGAGCUCCUGCUGCAUGGUGGGGGUUGGAAAGUUUCGGCGGUUGGGGAUGGACUCGCGGCUUAUCAGCUUGUUGGUGGGGUAGUGGCUUACCAAGGCUUUGACGGGUAGCCGGCCUGAGAGGGUGACCGGCCACAUUGGGACUGAGAUACGGCCCAGGCUCCUACGGGAGGCAGCAGUGGGGAAUAUUGCACAAUGGGCGGAAGCCUGAUGCAGCAACGCCGCGUGCGGGAUGACGGCCUUCGGGUUGUAAACCGCUUUCGCCUGUGACGAAGCGUGAGUGACGGUAAUGGGUAAAGAAGCACCGGCUAACCACGUG
RNAcentral lists this ribosomal RNA (468 nucleotides) under uncultured bacterium. Its description in RNAcentral is "partial 16S ribosomal RNA". It matches the Rfam family "Bacterial small subunit ribosomal RNA", at positions 28 to 507 of the family's 1533-position model. The record is from RNAcentral.